This 253-nucleotide ribosomal RNA is filed under the name uncultured bacterium. RNAcentral describes it as "partial 16S ribosomal RNA". It matches the Rfam family "Bacterial small subunit ribosomal RNA", at positions 524 to 776 of the family's 1533-position model. The record is from RNAcentral.
UACGUAGGGUGCGAGCGUUAAUCGGAAUUACUGGGCGUAAAGGGUGCGCAGGCGGUCCUGCAAGUCAGGCGUGAAAUCCCCGGGCUUAACCUGGGAAUGGCACUUGAAACUACGGGACUGGAGUAUGGCAGAGGGAGGUGGAAUUUCCGGUGUAGCGGUGAAAUGCGUAGAUAUCGGAAGGAACAUCAGUGGCGAAAGCGACUUCCUGGACCAAUACUGACGCUCAUGUGCGAAAGCGUGGGGAGCAAACAGG